This 492-nucleotide ribosomal RNA is filed under the name uncultured bacterium. Its description in RNAcentral is "partial 16S ribosomal RNA". It matches the Rfam family "Bacterial small subunit ribosomal RNA", at positions 29 to 507 of the family's 1533-position model. The record is from RNAcentral.
AGUGAACGCUGGCGGUAGGCCUAACACAUGCAAGUCGAACGGCAGCACAGUAAGAGCUUGCUCUUACGGGUGGCGAGUGGCGGACGGGUGAGGAAUACAUCGGAAUCUACUUUUUCGUGGGGGAUAACGUAGGGAAACUUACGCUAAUACCGCAUACGACCUCCGGGUGAAAGCAGGGGAUCUUCGGACCUUGCGCGAUUGACUGCGCCGAUGUCGGAUUAGCUAGUUGGCGGGGUAAAGGCCCACCAAGGCGACGAUCCGUAGCUGGUCUGAGAGGAUGAUCAGCCACACUGGAACUGAGACACGGUCCAGACUCCUACGGGAGGCAGCAGUGGGGAAUAUUGGACAAUGGGCGCAAGCCUGAUCCAGCCAUACCGCGUGGGUGAAGAAGGCCUUCGGGUUGUAAAGCCCUUUUGUUGGGAAAGAAAAGCAGCAGGUUAAUACCCCGCUGUUCUGACGGUACCCAAAGAAUAAGCACCGGCUAACUUCGUG